UGCAAUACUAUAUGCUUCUAGAUUAGAGUUGGGUUUAUAGCAGGCCUAUCAUGACAGAGUUGCAACCGAGACUUAAAUUGUGCAGUAAGUUAAGGCACAUGUCUGUGACUCUUACUCCAAGGUUAAAAGCAUCAGAGUUGUG
Perognathus longimembris pacificus (Pacific pocket mouse) is the source of this 142-nucleotide long non-coding RNA. RefSeq lists it as uncharacterized. NCBI's taxonomy places the organism in Eukaryota, Metazoa, Chordata, Mammalia, Rodentia, Heteromyidae. The record is from RefSeq and is a predicted model, not a curated record. The transcript has 3 exons.